AACCUGGUUGAUCCUGCCAGUAGUCAUAUGCUUGUCUCAAAGACUAAGCCAUGCAUGUCUAAGUAUAAGUAUUAUACAGCGAAACUGCGAAUGGCUCAUUAAAACAGUUAUAAUUUAUUUGAUAAUCGAAUUUACAUGGAUAACCGUGGUAAUUCUAGAGCUAAUACAUGCUGGUAGGCCCGACUUUUUGGAAGGGCGGUAUUUAUUAGAUAACAAACCAAUAUUCCUCUGGUCUAUUGUGGUGAAUCAUAAUAACUGAUCGAAUCGCAAGGUUUUUAACCGCGAUAAGUCAUUCAAGUUUCUGCCCCAUCAGCUUUCGAUGGUAGUGUAUUGGACUACCAUGGCUUUUACGGGUAACGGAGGAUUAGGGUUCGAUUCCGGAGAGGGA
This 388-nucleotide ribosomal RNA is filed under the name uncultured marine eukaryote. RNAcentral describes it as "SSU rRNA". It matches the Rfam family "Eukaryotic small subunit ribosomal RNA", at positions 1 to 393 of the family's 1831-position model. The record is from RNAcentral.